Molecule: long non-coding RNA, 1421 nt
Filed under: Homo sapiens (human)
Lineage: Eukaryota; Metazoa; Chordata; Mammalia; Primates; Hominidae
Description: HSALNT0218359
Source: RNAcentral
GGCACACUGUUCAAGGUGCUGAAAAUCAGACUCUUCUCAAGGAGCUCAUGAGCAAUCAAGGGAGAUGGAUGGGUGAGCCACUGAUUAUCAUGUGACAAGUGGGGUAAUAGAGAUAUGACUAAAAUGCUAUCCAAAGAAGAAGAAAGGAAUUAUUCAUAGUAUAUGGAGUGCUGGGGAAAGAGUUCUGAAAUGAAGCCGGCCGGGUGUGAUGGCUCACACUUCCACUACCUGACCUCAGGUGAUCCACCAGACUCGGGCUCCCCAAAGUGCUGGGAUUACAGGUGUGAGCCACCGCACCCAGCCCAAAAGCUUUGUGUUUUUACGGAUAUUAACCAUGUUUCCUGUUUAAAAAGAAAAAACAGCAACAAUGUAGGAGAAUAAGAGAAACAUUUUUCCAAAAAAGAAAUCAUUUUGAUUAUUUUAUCUCAUUGGAAUGUUGGAUAAUAUAGUCUGCUUCAUUAAUCAUCAAGCAUGCUGUGGAUUUCCCACUUUUAUAGGAUCUGUAUCUCAGUUCAGGUAAUACUGGUAAUUUUUAUACAGUAUUUGAAGAUGAAAAAUAUAGGCCAAAAUGACAGACCUUGCAUAGAAGCUGGUUAAUGAAGACAGCUCUGGAGGAACACAUGGAUACACACAGAGAGACACACACAUAUAUAUAAAGUAUACACACAUAUGAUUUUUAAAGUUUUAAGGGUUUUAAAGCAAAAGCCAGCCCCUCCACUCUCCCAGAGCGGGCGGCCCCUCCCCUCUCUCAGAGUGGGUGGGGACAGCGGUUGCAUGGGCAGCUUUCCUGAUGAGCCACAGGUCCCUCUGGACACACUGCCGCCUGGCCACGCCCCCUUUCCCUGUCAUCUUUCUCGUUGGCCAAUGGGCUUGAAGCAUUAAGGCCACGCCCCUAUUCUGCAUUCUACUGUGGCCCUGGUUACGCUGCCUCUGGGUCAGUUACGCAGCUGUCUUCCAGGUGACUGGAUGUGUUGAUCAGCGCUCGCUGGGAUUUGGCUGACGUGGCCCCAGCCCCGCCUCCCUCCCCACCCCACAAUGGCAGAAGAAACUGGACAGAGUAAAUUAGCUGCAGCCAAGAAAAAGUUCAAAGAAUAUUGGCAGAGAAACCGCCCUGGUGUUCCAGCAGCAGCGAAGAGGAACACGAAAGCAAAUGGCAGUAGCCCUGAGACGGCCGCUUCUGGUGGUUGCCACUCAUCUGAGGCUGUGAGUCUUGCCUGGACAGGCUUUUGGGGACAGGGGGCCCAAGGAGCAGUAGAGGGCAAUCGUUAAGAUUGUGGAUGGACUGUUGGGUACUGGUGAAGGAUUCUGGAUUUGGCCGGGCACAGUGGCUCACGCCUGUAAUCCCCACACUUCGGGAGACCGAGGCAGGUGGAUCACAAGGUCAGGAGAUCGAGACCAUCCAGGCAAACACGGUGAAAUAC